UAAGGAAUAUUGGUCAAUGGAGGCAACUCUGAACCAGCCAUGCCGCGUGGAGGAUGAAGGCCCUCUGGGUUGUAAACUUCUUUUAUAAGGGAAGAAAUGCAGACAUUCUUGUUUGUUUGACGGUACCUUAGGAAUAAGCACCGGCUAACUCCGUGCCAGCAGCCGCGGUAAUACGGAGGGUGCAAGCGUUAUCCGGAUUCACUGGGUUUAAAGGGUGCGUAGGCGGGCAGGUAAGUCAGUGGUGAAAUCUUCGAGCUUAACUCGGAAACUGCCGUUGAUACUAUCUGUCUUGAAUACUCGGGAGGUGAGCGGAAUAUGUCAUGUAGCGGUGAAAUGCUUAGAUAUGACAUAGAACACCAAUUGCGAAGGCAGCUCACUACAGAGU
This 385-nucleotide ribosomal RNA is filed under the name uncultured bacterium. RNAcentral describes it as "bacterial SSU rRNA". It matches the Rfam family "Bacterial small subunit ribosomal RNA", at positions 355 to 737 of the family's 1533-position model. The record is from RNAcentral.